RNAcentral lists this ribosomal RNA (257 nucleotides) under uncultured Oscillospiraceae bacterium. RNAcentral describes it as "partial 16S ribosomal RNA". It matches the Rfam family "Bacterial small subunit ribosomal RNA", at positions 83 to 339 of the family's 1533-position model. The record is from RNAcentral. Lineage: Bacteria; Bacillati; Bacillota; Clostridia; Eubacteriales; Oscillospiraceae.
UAGGAAUCCUUAGUGGCGGACGGGUGAGUAACGCGUGAGGAACCUGCCUUGGAGAGGGGAAUAACACAGUGAAAAUUGUGCUAAUACCGCAUGAUGCAGUUGAGUCGCAUGGCUCUGACUGCCAAAGAUUUAUCGCUCUGAGAUGGCCUCGCGUCUGAUUAGGUAGUUGGUGGGGUAAUGGCCCACCAAGCCGACGAUCAGUAGCCGGACUGAGAGGUUGACCGGCCACAUUGGGACUGAGACACGGCCCAGACUCC